Molecule: long non-coding RNA, 550 nt
Organism: Carassius gibelio (silver crucian carp)
Lineage: Eukaryota; Metazoa; Chordata; Actinopteri; Cypriniformes; Cyprinidae
Exons: 2
Source: RefSeq, a predicted model, not a curated record
UGGAUUAAGACAAGGGGAACAUCAGAAAACAACUCCUGUCACGGCCAACCUUGAUUUCUGUCUGCUUUUCAUCUGCUGGACUGACAUGAGUGGCCUUUCCAUUCCUCCACUCAGGCCUUAACGUAUUGCAGGGCCUCGACUUAAAGCAGCAAUGUUUGCGUCUGGAGUCUCCAGCAGUGCAUCUACCAGCUACAAGAUCUUCAUGCAGACUUGACAGCGACUGAUGCGUGACCGGUAAUCAUCUCCCUUCAGCGUCUCCUGGGAAGGACCCUGGAAGAACUGUUCGUUCUUCUCUACCGUGGUCAACCAGAAACUGUACUUGUUGGCGAAGAAGUGGCAGGUGCCGCGGGCUCCGUUGCACUCGAUGAAGGGGGUGGCGCGGAAAUCCUCCAGACAAGAACCAGGAGACACCAAUGACUGACCGCCUCCUUCGGCACCAGCGGCUGUGUGCUAGAGGACCAAGAUGAACACUAGUGAGGAGACCUUCCAAAUGUGUCCAAAUCUUGAACAUUUAUACUAUUAUACAUAUUAAAUAACUUAUUAUUAUUAA